RNAcentral lists this ribosomal RNA (478 nucleotides) under uncultured bacterium. RNAcentral's name for it is "partial 16S ribosomal RNA". It matches the Rfam family "Bacterial small subunit ribosomal RNA", at positions 28 to 507 of the family's 1533-position model. The record is from RNAcentral.
GAUGAACGCUAGCGGCAGGCCUAACACAUGCAAGUCGAGGGAGAAGCCCUUUCGGGGGCAGAAACCGGCGCACGGGUGCGUAACGCGUAUGCAACCUACCUUUCACAGGGGGAUAGCCCGAAGAAAUUUGGAUUAAUACCCCAUAAUAUUAUUGGAUGGCAUCAUUUGAUAAUUAAAACUGCGGUGGUGAAAGAUGGGCAUGCGUCCUAUUAGCUAGGUGGAGUGGUAACGGCACCCCAAGGCUACGAUAGGUAGGGGUCCUGAGAGGGAGAUCCCCCAAACGGGUACUGAGACAGGGACCAGACGACUACGGGAGGCAGCCGUCAGGAAGAUUGGGCAAUGGUCGGAAGACUGAACCAGCCAUGCCGCGUGCAGGAAGAAUGCCUUAUGGGUUGUAAACUGCUUUUAUAUGGGAAUAAUAAGGUGUACGUGUACAUUGAUGACGGUACCAGAUGAAUAAGCAUCGGCUAACUCCGUG